CCAAUAGCGUAUAUUAAAGUUGUUGCAGUUAAAAAGCUCGUAGUUGAAUUUUGGAUUCUGCCAUUUGGUCCAUCUUUUAGAUGAGUACUGAGUGUGUAGGGUCUAUUCGCCUGGUAAUACGUAAUGUCCUUUAUUGGAUGUUGCGGGUAGUCAGGACUUUUACCUUGAAAAAAUUAGAGUGUUUAAAGCAGGCUUAUGCCGGAAUACAUUAGCAUGGAAUAAUAGAAUAGGACGAAGUUGUUUUAUUUUGUUGGUUUCUAGGACAACCGUAAUGAUUAAUAGGGAUAGUUGGGGGCAUUAGUAUUCAAUUGUCAGAGGUGAAAUUCUUGGAUUUAUUGAAGACUAACUACUGCGAAAGCAUUUGCCAAGGAUGUUUUCAUUAAUCAAGAACGAAAGUUAGGGGAUCGAAGACGAUCAGAUACCGUCGUAGUCUUAACCAUAAACUAUGCCGACUAGGGAUCGGGCGAUGUUGUUUCAAUGACUCGCUCGGCACCUUAUG
Molecule: ribosomal RNA, 499 nt
Filed under: uncultured Glomeromycotina
Lineage: Eukaryota; Fungi; Glomeromycota
Description: partial small subunit ribosomal RNA
Rfam family: Eukaryotic small subunit ribosomal RNA
Source: RNAcentral